Long non-coding RNA from Oncorhynchus tshawytscha (Chinook salmon), 1892 nucleotides. NCBI's taxonomy places the organism in Eukaryota, Metazoa, Chordata, Actinopteri, Salmoniformes, Salmonidae. The record is from Ensembl.
GACAGCGUAUGUAAAAACAUUUAUUGGUUGAGGACGUAUUAUAGUUGACAUGGCCUUUCUACCAGGCUUGGUGGUUAAUAUUAACAGUACAGCUUCCUACUUCCUCUACUCUUUAGUCUCAGACAUGGAGCUUCAACAUUCAACAAAAAAAAAAAAAUUGAAAUAAUCUUUACAUUUCCUUGACACACACAGGUGUGUGUGUGACGGUGUGGAAUGUGUGUGAGGGUUAAACAUGAUGAGAUGGUCAACUAUAACAAUAUACAUGAUUAAGAUCAGAUUAUGGACAGAGCAGAGCACAGAGCCAGGUUACUAUAGCCUGGGUUACACCCUAUGGGCCCUGGUCAACAGGAAGCACACCAUAUAAGGAACAGGGAACCAUUUGGGAUUCAGACAUUAUAGUUAAGCAGACAGCAUCACUCCAAAUAACCUUAGUCAGCCAAUCACAUCGCUCUAUCCCACCCACAGAAUCAAGACUGACUAACUGGCUGGUUCACCAGAUGUGAUUAAGAAACUAAACAUGAGCAUCGUAUUGGUCCAGACAAACCACAUGAUCUCAACAUGAGGACUUCCUACUCCAGAUUACCACAUUAACAACACAUAGGACCAGUUUCCUGGACACAGAUUCAGCAGUUUUGGUCCAGUAGGAUUCAUGUGAGUCCAGGAAGCCAGCCUGUAAUUAAGCAAUAAGGCACAGCCCCCCUGUAGUGCCAAUAUACCACAGCUAAGGGUUGUUCUUAGGCACGACGCAGCGUGGAGUGCCUUGACACAGCCCUUAGCCGUGGUAUAUUAGCUAUAUAAACCCCCAAGGUGCCUUAUUGCUAUUAGAAACUGGUUACCAAUGUAAUUAGAGCAGUAAAAAUUAAAUGUUUUGUCAUACCCGUGGUAUACGGUCUGAUGUACCACGGCUGUCAGCCAAUCAGCAUUCAGGGCUUGAACCACCCAGUUUGUAAUUCUCUAUAAAAGGCUGUAUUUAGUCUGUUUUACAGCAGGCUAGUGUUCUCAGGAGAAUCCAGCUGAGUUUAAACACAGCAUGCUGUUUUCUUCCAUAGUGAGUAGCAUGCCAGGGCCAGGAGCCGCUUCCAGGAGCCGCUUCCAGGAGCCGCUUCCAGGCCACUCAGUGUGUGGUGUGUUGCUCUCUCCUGCGUCUCUCCCAUUACCAUGACAUUCCUUCACACAGACACUGCCCCACUGACGGCCAUCUUUGCUUGUUCCAUCGCCAUAAGCAACAACAGCCCAGCAGAGAGAAGGAACACAGUGCACAUCAAAAAUGAUGACAUUGUACACAUGACACUGUGCACAUCAAAUUAAAAAAAGUGUAAUGAACCCAGAUGUUUUCAGUCUAAUCUAACCUACUCUCUGACAGGAUAUGUGUAAUCUAAAGAGAAUAUAGUGACAUGGAGUUGCAUCUCCUCCAGUAUGUAUGUAAGCGCUGCACAUUAGUCUUUGGCAUGGUUCAGUAUCGGAGAAGCCCAUUGGUUGAGCUGACGUUCACGCCAGACCAAUAACAGGAGAACAGAAGAUCAGGUCAAUGCUUCAUCGUCGUGGAUUAAAAACCUCGUAUUUACUUGGUUAAAUAACAUCCACAUACGUUUCCCAGUGACAUAAAGAGGGAAAUAAAAAUAAGCACAUUAAAUCUGAGUCUGAAUCGAUUUUUAAAAAAAACUGUUGAGAUUGAAAGAGAUCCACCAUAUUAUCAAUUGUAAGACUUUAAUUCUUUAAGACUUUAAAUUCUUUACGACAGUAUUAAGACAUCUAUAAACGUUCUUCAGGGCUUCAGACUUUUUCAGAGAGGCAGCUGUUCUCAUACACUCCUCAGAGUACACUACAGCUGUACCAACCCACCACAUCCACCCCAGGAGGUUAACAGACGGCCCUACCAGGACCCACCACAC